Molecule: long non-coding RNA, 1851 nt
Filed under: Homo sapiens (human)
Lineage: Eukaryota; Metazoa; Chordata; Mammalia; Primates; Hominidae
Description: HSALNT0373656
Source: RNAcentral
UGGAAAGAAUACAACCUCGAACCACACAGGGACCCUGUGACAAUGUGAUCUCUGCCACUUUCUUGCUCUGUGAAUUGAGAGAGAUUAUUUCAGUUCUCUCGGUUUUCACUUUCUUAAUCCUUUCCUUAUUCAAUCUGUUUGUUUACCUUGCUCAGACAACACAAAAGAAGACACAGAAGCACCAUGGGCAAACCAUGGAACAAGAACUGGAAUGAAUAUCUAUUCCACUACCUGAACUAAAGACUGCAGACGGAGAAAGGGAAGACAGGGGUUUAACUGGCAAUUCAAAGUGAGGUGAUCAGCCUUCUGUUACAGAGUUAACUGUGUGUGAAAGAAUGUAAGAUUCAUGUAUACAUCUGACAGUGACAGCUGUAUGGCCACAGCUUCAUGCUAUCAAGGCCCUUCAGUACAAGAUUGAAGUGAAGUGAUGAUAUUUGACAUCCUUGACUUCAAAGGAAAGCUUUGAAAAUCUCACCAUUAGAUAAGAUGCUUGCAGUGGAUUUUUUUUUAAAUUUGUAAUUAGCCUUUAUCAGAUUGAGGAAGCUCCAUUCUAGUUCUAGUUUUCCAUGAGUUUUUAUUUUUAACUUUUAUCAGGAAUGGAUUUUAAAACUCAUCAAAUGCUUUUUAUGUAUCAAUGAGUUGAAACCUAUUUUUUUAUUUUAUUCUUAAUAUGACCAAUUACAUUGCCUUUCUAAUGUUAAGCUAACCUGAAUUUCUAGUAUAAACCAACUUGCUUAUGAUGAAGUCUUUUUACCAACUGCUGGGUUUACAUUUUUAAGAAUUUUGGGGUCUAUGUUCAUAAUGAGAUUGGACUGUAUGUUUCCCUUGUCAUACUCUCUUGAUUGGUUUUUGGUAUCAAGAAAAUCCAGUCUGAUACCAUGUAUUAGAGUUUAUCUUAUUUUGUCGUUCUCUGGAAAUAUGUAGGAUUGAUAUUAAUUUUUCAUUGUGCCUGUUAGUAAAGAUGUUUGAACCUAAACAUUAUUUUGGAGGAAGUUUUAUAUUGCUGUUUCAGUUUCUUUAUGUUUAUCUCAGUUUUUUAUUAUAUCUUUUGUCAAAUUUAUAAGUGGUCGUUUUCUAGAAAUUUUCUGGACAGUUUCUUCUGAAUUUCUCAAUUUAUUGGAAUAAAGUUAUUACAUACAGUUAUUAUCUUUGUAAUAUCUAUAGAAUCUCCUGUUUUAUUCCUGAUGUAAGUUAAUUUUCUCUUCUUAAUUAUUCUCUUGAAAAAAAAAUAUAUGUGUGUGUGUGUAUAUAUAUAUAUAAAUGUUACUAGCCUCCCAGUUUUGGCUUUGUCUUCUCUAUUAUAUUUAAUUAUUAGUUUCAUCCUCAUUCAUCAAUGCUCUUUCUUUAAUGGUUUCUUCUUUUUACUUUCUUUUUUGCUGUUCUUUUGUAAUUUCUCAAGACAGAUGCUUAAAGCAUUACUUUUAAGCCAUCUUUUCUUUUGAAUGUGUGCUUCUAAGGCUAUACAUUUUACAUGCUGUACUUUUCAAAUUUUAAUAUGUAGUAUUUUCAUUAUCAUUCAGUUUAGUAUACUUUCUUUUUUCUCCCAUGAUUUCCUUUCGAUGUGUUUUUAUAAUGUCCAAACAUAUAGUAAUUUUCUAGGUAUAUUUUGAUUGUUAAUAGUUGUUAAAAACAUAUACCUUUUUAAUUAAUUUAUUUGUACUUGUUUUAUGGCAUAGGAUACUGUCCAAUUUUUAUAUUUUUGCAUUUGGGGGCUAUAAUAUUUAUUAAAUCUUUCUUUCUCUGUAUCCUUCUUGAAUUUAUAUAUGCAAACUGCCACUGACUGUGCAUUUGGGUUCUUCUUAUAAUUUUAUUAUUUUAUAAAAUUAUGCAUUUUGAGGUCAUGUAAUUGAG